Long non-coding RNA from Perognathus longimembris pacificus (Pacific pocket mouse), 408 nucleotides. RefSeq lists it as uncharacterized. Lineage: Eukaryota; Metazoa; Chordata; Mammalia; Rodentia; Heteromyidae. The record is from RefSeq and is a predicted model, not a curated record. The transcript is spliced from 3 exons.
GUAUGUUCUCUGAUGCAUAUUGAGGGUUCACUUCUGCCUGAAACAAUUUCCAUAUCUGCUGCAUUCACAAGGUUUCUCUCCUGAGUGUGUUCUCUGAUACAUACUGAGGUGUGAUUUCUGCUUGAAAGACACUGCACAUCAGUUACAUAACAUUUCUCACCUAUGUGGGUUCUCUGAUACAAACUGAAUUGUGUCUUCCAGGUGAAAGACUUUCCACAUAUGUUACAUUCAUAAGGUUUUUCUCCUGUUUGAAUUCUCUUAUGUGUGCUGAGAUCUGAGUUGUAGACAAAGUACUUUGCACAUUUGUUACAUUCAUAAGGUUUCUUACCUGUAUGCAUUCUCAUAUGAAUGAUGAGUAAUGACUUCUGGGUGAAAAAUUUUUCACGUUGGUUACAGUUAUAAGGUUUC